Molecule: ribosomal RNA, 946 nt
Filed under: Pseudomonas aeruginosa
Lineage: Bacteria; Pseudomonadati; Pseudomonadota; Gammaproteobacteria; Pseudomonadales; Pseudomonadaceae
Description: bacterial SSU rRNA
Rfam family: Bacterial small subunit ribosomal RNA
Source: RNAcentral
AGAGCAAACCAUGCAGUCGAGCGGAUGCACGGGAGCUUGCUCCUGGAUUCAGCGGCGGACGGGUGAGUAAUGCCUAGGAAUCUGCCUGGUAGUGGGGGAUAACGUCCCGAAACGGACGCUAAUACCGCAUACGUCCUACGGGAGAAAGUGGGGGAUCUUCGGACCUCACGCUAUCAGAUGAGCCUAGGUCGGAUUAGCUAGUUGGUGGGGUAAAGGCCUACCAAGGCGACGAUCCGUAACUGGUCUGAGAGGAUGAUCAGUCACACUGGAACUGAGACACGGUCCAGACUCCUACGGGAGGCAGCAGUGGGGAAUAUUGGACAAUGGGCGAAAGCCUGAUCCAGCCAUGCCGCGUGUGUGAAGAAGGUCUUCGGAUUGUAAAGCACUUUAAGUUGGGAGGAAGGGCAGUAAGUUAAUACCUUGCUGUUUUGACGUUACCUACAGAAUAAGCACCGGCUAACUUCGUGCCAGCAGCCGCGGUAAUACGAAGGGUGCAAGCGUUAAUCGGAAUUACUGGGCGUAAAGCGCGCGUAGGUGGUUCAGCAAGUUGGAUGUGAAAUCCCCGGGCUCAACCUGGGAACUGCAUCCUAAACUACUGAGCUAGAGUACGUGUAGAGAGGUGGUGGAAUUUCCUGUGUAGCGGUGAAAUGCGUAUAUAUAGGAAGGAACACCAGUGGCGAAAGCGACCACCUGGACUGAUACUGACACUGAGGUGCGAAAGCGUGGGAGCAACAGGAUUAGAUACCCUGGUAGUCCACGCCGUAAACGAUGUCGACUAGUCGUUGGGAUCCUUGAGAUCGUAAUGCGCAGCUAACGCGAUAUUCCACCGCCUGGGGAGUACGGCGCAGUAAAACUCAAUGAAUACGGAGGCCGCACACGGUGACUGGUUAUUUGACACCGAGACUACUCGCUUGAGUCUGAAGCUCGAAUGAUGUGCUCGACUGAC